Molecule: non-coding RNA, 112 nt
Organism: Acanthosepion pharaonis
Lineage: Eukaryota; Metazoa; Mollusca; Cephalopoda; Sepiida; Sepiidae
Source: the annotation of a GenBank genome assembly
UAUGGCCAUAUAACUUUGAAACACUGGUUUCCGUACAAUCACCGAAGUUAAGCAAUGUCGAGCCUGAUUCGUACCUAGGUGGGUGACUGCUUGGGAAUACCAGGUGCUGUAA